Molecule: transfer RNA, 26 nt
Filed under: Ninox novaeseelandiae undulata
Lineage: Eukaryota; Metazoa; Chordata; Aves; Strigiformes; Strigidae
Also listed under: 3 other names
Description: partial tRNA-Trp
Source: RNAcentral
CUUAGGAUAGCCGCCCUUAAACCGAA